AAAGGUUGGUACUUUCAUUGGCGGAACUAAACUGUUAAAAAAACGAAUUCAUUUAAACGGUGAGAAAAUUGAAAAGAUGGAUAUCAAAACAUAAUUUCCAAAUACAUAUAAAAGGCUUCUGCCAGCUUUAUUUUUCUCUCUUUAAAAAAAAAAAAGCCACGCAUAUAAAUAGAGAUAUGAAAUGUUCUAAACGAAUGCAAGCAAUCGUCGAGGAAAACUCAAUAAAAUGCGAACAAGCCUAUAAAAACAAAAAGUCUCGUUUCACAAUAUAUUUGUGUAAAUUUCCAUCUCUAAUCUACCUUACCUGAAUUUGAUUGAUCUAUAACAGGAUCGUCUUCGCUAAUUUCGCCAUCUUCUUUGUCAGAGUCAUUACUCUCAUCUUCUUCAUUCUUCUUUUUUGAUUCUAAAGCCUUUUUUCGCAACUCAUCGAGAUUUAUUGACCGGGACAUUUAUUUACAGCUAAAACUGGGUUAGUAGUGCCAAAUUUCAACAGCAGAUGUUUUGUUUGUAGUACCAGUUAAGACAGUGAAACGCGAAAAACAUUAAAUAUUAUUGCACAUAAAGUUUUUUCACCUCAGAGCAUGUUAUUCCCUAAUAAAGAUAUUGAUGGUUGAAUACUUUCUUAUUUGUUCUAAUGAACUGUCUGAAAUAUGCACUAAGACUCUUUAUUUACAAAACAUUCGGAAUUAGUCUAUUGAACAG
This is a non-coding RNA of Schizosaccharomyces pombe (fission yeast), 702 nucleotides long. The record is from the annotation of a GenBank genome assembly. NCBI's taxonomy places the organism in Eukaryota, Fungi, Ascomycota, Schizosaccharomycetes, Schizosaccharomycetales, Schizosaccharomycetaceae.